Molecule: ribosomal RNA, 693 nt
Filed under: uncultured soil bacterium
Lineage: Bacteria
Description: bacterial SSU rRNA
Rfam family: Bacterial small subunit ribosomal RNA
Source: RNAcentral
ACAUGCAAGUCGAACGAGGUCCAUGGCGUGGCAACACUCCGGAAGACCUAGUGGCGAACGGGUGAGUAACACGUGAGGAACCUGCCCCGAAGACCGGGAUAACCCUCCGAAAGGAGAGCUAAUACCGGAUACCCCCAUUUGAUCGCAUGAUCGGAUGAGGAAAUGGAUUCCGCUUCGGGAGGGCCUCGCGGCCUAUCAGCUUGUUGGUGGGGUAACGGCCCACCAAGGCAUCGACGGGUAGCUGGUCUGAGAGGACGAUCAGCCACACUGGGACUGAGACACGGCCCAGACUCCUACGGGAGGCAGCAGUGGGGAAUCUUGCGCAAUGGGCGAAAGCCUGACGCAGCAACGCCGCGUGGGGGAUGAAGGCUCUCGGGUUGUAAACCCCUUUCAGCAGGGACGAACUAAGACGGUACCUGCAGAAGAAGCCCCGGCUAACUACGUGCCAGCAGCCGCGGUAACACGUAGGGGGCAAGCGUUGUCCGGAUUUAUUGGGCGUAAAGAGCUCGUAGGCGGCUCGGUAAGUCGGGUGUUAAAUCCCCAGGCUCAACCUGGGACACCACCCGAUACUGCUGUGGCUAGAGUCCGGUAGGGGAGCGUGGAAUUCCUGGUGUAGCGGUGAAAUGCGCAGAUAUCAGGAGGAACACCAGCGGCGAAGGCGGCGCUCUGGGCCGGAACUGACGCUGAGGAGCG